UCGGUUUGAAAUACAGACCGCUUGCAAAACAUUUUACUAAAGCAAUCCUCAUCACCAGGCGCUAUCGCUGAUACCCUUUUUUUGAGUGUAAUCGUUCAAUGCCAAGCGUUUUCUGUAAAACAGACCAUAUUGCCGAGAGGCUUAAAAAAGGUAAGCAAAAUGUCUGCAAAAAUGAUUGGGUUAGUUAAAUGGUUUAACGGUGAUAAAGGCUUUGGUUUUAUCUCGCCAAUCGAUGGCAGUAAAGAUGUUUUCGUACAUUUUUCUGCGCUCAGCGGAGAUAAUUUUAAAACAUUAUUUGAAGGCCAAAAGGUUGAGUUCUCGAUUGAAAGUGGAGCUAAAGGCCCGGCAGCUGCUAAUGUUGUUCU
This 365-nucleotide small RNA is filed under the name uncultured Superficieibacter sp. Its description in RNAcentral is "cspA thermoregulator". It matches the Rfam family "cspA thermoregulator", at positions 1 to 369 of the family's 428-position model. Lineage: Bacteria; Pseudomonadati; Pseudomonadota; Gammaproteobacteria; Enterobacterales; Enterobacteriaceae. The record is from RNAcentral.